This 578-nucleotide ribosomal RNA is filed under the name Priestia megaterium. RNAcentral describes it as "bacterial SSU rRNA". It matches the Rfam family "Bacterial small subunit ribosomal RNA", at positions 95 to 663 of the family's 1533-position model. The record is from RNAcentral. Lineage: Bacteria; Bacillati; Bacillota; Bacilli; Caryophanales; Bacillaceae.
GCGGCGGACGGGUGAGUAACACGUGGGCAACCUGCCUGUAAGACUGGGAUAACUUCGGGAAACCGAAGCUAAUACCGGUUAGGAUCUUCUCCUUCAUGGGAGAUGAUUGAAAGAUGGUUUCGGCUAUCACUUACAGAUGGGCCCGCGGUGCAUUAGCUAGUUGGUGAGGUAACGGCUCACCAAGGCAACGAUGCAUAGCCGACCUGAGAGGGUGAUCGGCCACACUGGGACUGAGACACGGCCCAGACUCCUACGGGAGGCAGCAGUAGGGAAUCUUCCGCAAUGGACGAAAGUCUGACGGAGCAACGCCGCGUGAGUGAUGAAGGCUUUCGGGUCGUAAAACUCUGUUGUUAGGGAAGAACAAGUACAAGAGUAACUGCUUGUACCUUGACGGUACCUAACCAGAAAGCCACGGCUAACUACGUGCCAGCAGCCGCGGUAAUACGUAGUGGCAAGCGUUAUCCGGAAUUAUUGGGCGUAAAGCGCGCGCAGGCGGUUUCUUAAGUCUGAUGUGAAGCCCACGGCUCAUCCGUGGAGGUCAUUGUAACUGGGGAACUUGAGUGCAGAUAACAAAGCGG